Molecule: long non-coding RNA, 2997 nt
Organism: Zalophus californianus (California sea lion)
Lineage: Eukaryota; Metazoa; Chordata; Mammalia; Carnivora; Otariidae
Exons: 3
Source: RefSeq, a predicted model, not a curated record
GAGCUGAAACCAAGAGUCGCCACUCAAUCGAUUGUGCCACCCAGGCACCUCCAGACUUGUAACAUUUUUAAAGGUAGAUCCCACAAUCCAUUUACUGAUAGAGAUAGUUCAAGAAAGAAAGAAGAAUCAAAGGUGAUUGUUUUUGGAAUGAUGACACCAUUAUAAUUACAAAAGUGAAGCACAUGUCUGAGGCCAGUGCAACCCAAGAGGCUCAUAGUGAGUGCCCAACAGUAUUUAAUAUGGGGACCUGAGCUUGUCUAGGCUCCCUAGAAGAAGUGAUAAUGAGAGUUAAGCCCAGAAGACCAUAUGAGUUAACUAAAAGAAUGAGGGAAGCAUAAAGAGUGGUCCUGGUCAAGAAGCAGCAAGUGCACAGGGUGAGUAAGAGUUUUCUUCAGGCAGAAGGAAAGUUGAUGUGUGGAGUUGAAAAGAAGCUCCUGGGUCAAGACUGGGCCAGAGAGGUGGGGUGAGGGGAGUGAACUUGAUCCUGAGGGCAGUGAGAGCUAAAGGGAGGUUGUAAGUCAGGGAGUGAUACGCCCCUUUAGAGCCCCCAAAACAAAACACCCCGUGUGUAGAAGGUUCUGGAAGGGAACAGUGGAAACCUGGAGACCAGUGAAGAAGCCAUGGUUUGGUUAAGGCUCUGGUUCUCAGGGUGGGCAGGCCAGGUUCUCCUAGGUUACCAUUCCUGGGCUUGUGACUUUGGGCAAGUUACCUACCCUCUCUAUUGCUCCAACUUUCCCCUCUAUAAAUGGGAUUGAGGGCAGUACCCAUCUCACGCGAUUGUGGUCAAGAUUCAAUGAAAUAACCCAACAGAGCUUGGGGCAGGACUGGAUGGGAGGGCGCGACAACGAUGACCCCACCAUCGCGCGGGCUCCCCCGGAGGUACAAGAAGAGGCUCCCCACAGAGGAGAGCCCUUCCACUUGGAGCAGCCGGUGGUCGUUGUCCCUGAGGGGUCUGGGAAAGCGAGCGAGGACUUCGGGGCGGGCGCUCCACCCGGGGGCGGGGCUGGAGGCAGGAGCCUGCCUCGGACGCUCCGCCCCGCCGGCCUUCAGGAGCGGGCUUGACUGCCCUCUGGUGGCCGAGGGUGGGGUGAGCCCUGAGGCCACGCCCACUGCAGCUGCCCUUCGGUGGCGCCCCGGACCUCUGUCUCCAGCAGGCCAGCGUUCCCUGGUGUCUGUCCUCCGUCCUGCUCACCAGAGGGACCUUUACACUUCCAAUCUUGGGGUACCGUAUUCAGAGCUUGCCACGGCUCUCCUGGGACUCGGGGUAAUCAUUCUCCUUAGUUCAACACCGAAGUCUCCAGCCUUACCCCCUACCCCCACCCCUGCAAUGCGUCCCUUGCCCCUGACCUUUUACCUUAGCCACUCAGGACCCCUCUUCAGAUUUUUGAUCCUUCUGGAAACAUCUUUUCACAUACAGGCAAAUACAUAGAUAUAAAUAUAUUUUGAUCCUCACCGCACUGCCCCCCCCGCCUUUUUUUACACAAAUGGUAACAGACACACUCUGCCUUACCUUUUACCCCUAAAUAAUGUAUCUUAUAGAAGUUUCCAUAUUCAUACAUGAAUCCCUGUGUACUCAUCGUGCAGCUUCAAGUUAUCAACACUCACGGCAGCUUCAUUACUUCUUCUAGCUGUGGUGUUUUAGCCAGACCUCUAACUCAGUGAUACCCAACGUGCCGUGGCACAUGCAUAAAAUAUUGAAAUUGCACACUGAGGGAAAGUUGGGAGGGAUUUCAGACUGCCCAUGUGGGUCCUAGGGGAAAAGCCAUUCCAUUUCUAUAUACUAGUUUUGAUGAGGAGAAAAAUGAAAUAUAUUUAAUAGUGAAGUAUUAACUUUGAAACAACGAAUACAUUAUUUUAUAUGAGCUUUUAUAAUCAAAAUGGUUCACACAGUUCUUGAUCAAGGCUUAUUACUGAUGAUCUCUUCAAAUUCUUGGUAGUCAGCAUCAACAAGAGACUUCAUAGCCACAAGUAGGUGAUAAAAGAAAAAUUUUAACCAUCCUAAAGCUUACAACUGAAAUUAUAUUUAAAUGUUCCAACAGUUCUUCCCUUUAUUUAAUUGACAAGUAUAAUGUUGUAUUCAAGUGGAUUUCAAAUCCAAAUGAACUUUUUCAUUUCAGGUAUUUUUUUUUAAGAUUUUAUUUAUUUGACGGAGAGAGACAGUGAGAGAGGGAACACAAGCAGGGAGAGUGGGAGAGGGAGAAGCAGGCUUCCAGCGGAGCAGGGAGCCCGAUGCGGGGUUCGAUCCCAGGACCCUGGGAUCAUGACCUGAGCCGAAGGCAGACGCUUAACGACUGAGCCACCCAGGCGCCCCUCAUUUCAGGUACUUUAAACUAAUGAUAAGCUCCAGAAUACAGGAAAUUAUGUAAAGCUUUCAAGUCCCCCCUUUUUUUUUUUGAGAAAAUUGUAACUGUUAUUAAACCUGGGCAAGGCCAUACAGUGCACAGGGAGAGAGGAAAGGAGGGAGAGAAAGAGUGCAAAAGGAAGGAAAGAAGAAAGGGACAGACUGUGUAGUAAGACCAUUUAAAUUUCAUAAGAAUUCACAAGGCUUUUUACAUGUAAUUAUUCAAGCUAAUCAUGUGUGAACCUACUGAAAUGAGGUGGUUUAAAUAAUUUAGGAGGGAAUUAAUACUUCAUAUGACCAGAAUUCUAACAUUAGUGCAUGGACAUUUAUUAAAAAAUCAAAUAAGACAUAAAUGUGUUGAGAUGGUAUUUGUCAAUCUUAAAGUUUAAGGAAGUCACUCUUUUUUUAAGGAAGCUCCACAACCCAGUACGAGGCUUGAACUCCUGACCCUGAAAUCGAGAGUUGCCUGCUCUACGGACAGCCAGCCAGGUGCUGAGGAAGUCACUCUUAAAACACUAAGUCCCACCGGGAGGCCAGGCCUUGCACAGGGUUGCCCUUCAUAUCCAGGAUGCGCUGGAGCUGCUGGGCCUUCCACUCAUCCGUCAGGGUGAUGGGCUUCUUUGGGAACACUGCAGACAUGGUCAUGUGAUCAUUUC